Molecule: non-coding RNA, 24 nt
Filed under: Arabidopsis thaliana (thale cress)
Lineage: Eukaryota; Viridiplantae; Streptophyta; Magnoliopsida; Brassicales; Brassicaceae
Source: RNAcentral
GAGUUCUGAUGGGAUCCGGUGCAU